AUCAUGGUAGAAAUACCAGGUAGCAACAUAGGUGAAAAUUACAACAAAGCAACUUUUUUAGAAACUUGAUAUGUCAAAGUUUUAACCAGGGCGAAUUUAUUUGAAGUAUAAAAUUUGGGGCAAAUUGGUUUGCACCAAUCAGAACUCUUCAUUCUGAAACAUUGAAUAAGUUUGUUUUGGUUUAUUCAUAUGUAUAUAUUAGUUGAGAUUAGUAUAUUUUUUAACAUAUAAACUGAAAAUACUACAAUAACUGGAAGUGUAUACGUAUUAUAUAGUCAUAUCGCUAGAGAAGGACAUUUGGAGGCGACCCGUCCGUCUGUCUUGCUGGUGCGUACGAUAGCUGUAGAAUGGAUCAUCAUCCAAACAUAGUGCAUCGCAAUAUUAUUAACAAACAUAAUGCGGAGAUGGGCAAUGUCGUCCCACUCCUUCCGGUUCCUCCCUCACGACAUUUUUAACAGCACAGAAUCCAGUGCGAAAAUACAAAAUAUAUGUUAUGUUAUCACUUAUUUUGUAUUCUCUUAAUAAAAUAAAUAAUUCUCCUUGUAGCAUUAGAUAUAGGUUUUUAAGAAAUGUGUAAAGAUUCCAAGUUAUCCUUUUGUAUUAGAAUUAGGGUUGAUGCUUUGCCAUUAAAAGUGAGUAAAUAAUAAAUGUA
Long non-coding RNA from Musca domestica (house fly), 652 nucleotides. RefSeq lists it as uncharacterized. Lineage: Eukaryota; Metazoa; Arthropoda; Insecta; Diptera; Muscidae. The record is from RefSeq and is a predicted model, not a curated record. The transcript is spliced from 2 exons.